Molecule: long non-coding RNA, 453 nt
Organism: Gallus gallus (chicken)
Lineage: Eukaryota; Metazoa; Chordata; Aves; Galliformes; Phasianidae
Exons: 4
Source: RefSeq, a predicted model, not a curated record
GGUUCUCUUUCCAGGGAUUGCUCCUCUUGGAGUUUUUUUCCGUGAGCCUACAACACAGGUGCUCCAGGACCUUAAUCAUCUUUCUGGCCCAGACUGGACUGUCCUAGUGUCACUGAGUGAAGCACUGAUAUUCUUUAUUUGAAUAUAAUCUUUUAUAAUCUUAGACACUGUUCAAUUGAGGGGAGAGUAAAGCAUGAGCAAUUGAAAAAAUAUAUGCCUGGACUUCAAAAUUAAAUCUGAAAACUGUAAUUCUUCAGAUGGGGAUCAUGUAACUAUCAAGUCUGCAUUUCUGCUCUGCUGAGAAGACCUUUGUACCUAUGAAGAGCCUGCAAAGCCUAAUGAGAAGAUAGAUCUAGGGAUGCAAGCUUGGGAACUGGAUAAAAACAGUUAUAGAGACGGUGAUGUUUCAGAGUCUAGCAUUUCUGUUACAAAGACUCACAGUAAGUACAAAGG